This 309-nucleotide ribosomal RNA is filed under the name Triticum aestivum (bread wheat). RNAcentral's name for it is "partial small subunit ribosomal RNA". The record is from RNAcentral. Lineage: Eukaryota; Viridiplantae; Streptophyta; Magnoliopsida; Poales; Poaceae.
AUGAAGGGCCUCAUAGUUCGGCUGUGGCCCAAGGAGGCCAUGCCUGGGAGCUACUUCGGCCUGGUGCGGUGGCUGGUGGAUGCUUGUCCACGGGUUGAAGUCAUCAAGCACUCCGCCUGCAUUGAAGGUGCCCGUCGGGCCCUUGCCCGUGCUAAGGUGCACUGGGGCAAGAUGGACGCUGAGAAGCUUGUGACGGACGUGCCACCGCCGGGCAAGGAGUAUCGCACACUCGAGAUGUAUUAUAAGGGUGUCCUGAAGGGUGCCCGCAUUAUUGCGGGUGAGUGCUCCAAAGAUGUAAUAUUUGAGUAG